This 1755-nucleotide ribosomal RNA is filed under the name Triticum aestivum (bread wheat). Its description in RNAcentral is "partial small subunit ribosomal RNA". The record is from RNAcentral. Lineage: Eukaryota; Viridiplantae; Streptophyta; Magnoliopsida; Poales; Poaceae.
AUGGCCGUCCCCAGCUCGCCGUCUCUUCUCCUCGCCGCGGCGCUGCUGCUCUGCGCGACGGCGACGCUGGCCGCGGCCCAAGCCGUCACGACGAGGAAGUACCAGUUCGAUGUGCAAAUGACGAGCGUGACGCGGCUGUGCGGCACCAAGAGCAUCGCCACGGUGAACGGGCAGUUCCCGGGGCCGACGCUGCACGCGCGGGAGGGCGACCACGUGGAGGUCAACGUGGUCAACAACUCCCCCUACAACAUGAGCAUCCACUGGCACGGCGUGCGGCAGCUGCUCAGCGGGUGGUACGACGGGCCCUCCUACGUCACGCAGUGCCCGAUCCAGCCGGGCCAGAGCUACGUCUACCGGUUCCAGAUCGUCGGGCAGCGGGGCACGCUCUGGUGGCACGCGCACAUCUCCUGGCUCCGCGCCACCGUGCACGGGCCCAUCGUCAUCCUCCCGCCCGCCGGCGUGCCCUACCCGUUCCCGGCGCCGGAGGCCGAGGUGCCCCUCAUGUUCGGCGAGUGGUGGAGGAACGACACCGAGGCGGUCAUCGCCCAGGCGCUGCAGACCGGCGGGGGGCCUAAUGUGUCCGACGCCUACACCAUGAACGGACUCCCCGGCCCGCUCUACGCCUGCUCGGCGAAGGACACGUUUAGGCUCAAGGUGAAGCCUGGCAAGACGUACAUGCUCCGGCUCAUCAACGCCGCGCUCAACGACGAGCUCUUCUUCGCCGUAGCCAACCACACGCUCACCGUCGUCGACGUCGACGCGCUCUACGUCAAGCCCUUCGCCGUCGAGACCCUCAUCAUCGCGCCCGGACAGACCAGCAACGUGCUCCUCACCGCCAAGCCCGCCUACCCCGGCGCCAGGUACUACAUGCUGGCCCGCCCCUACACCAACACGCAGGGCACCUUCGACAACACCACCGUUGCCGGCAUCCUCGAGUACGAGCAUGACGACCCCGCCACCGCCACUGGCAACGGCAAGAACCUGCCCAUCUUCAGGCCGACCCUGCCGCAGAUCAACGACACCAGCGCCGUGUCCAACUACACCGCCAAGCUGCGCAGCCUGGCGAGCGCCGCGUACCCGGCGUCCGUGCCGCAGGUGGUGGACCGGGAGUUCCUCUUCACCGUCGGCCUCGGCACCCACCCGUGCGCGCCGGGCUCCCCCGUGAACGGGAGCACUUGCCAGGGCCCCAACGGGACGUCCCGGUUCGCGGCGUCCAUCAACAACGUCUCCUUCGUGCUCCCGACCACGGCGCUGCUGCAGUCGCACUACACCGGGAUGUCCAAGGGCGUGUACGCCUCCAACUUCCCCUUCGCGCCGCCGCACCCGUUCAACUACACGGGCACGCCGCCCAACAACACGAACGUGAUGACCGGGACCAAGGCGCUGGUGCUGCCGUUCGGCACCGCCGUGGAGCUGGUGAUGCAGGACACCAGCAUCCUCGGCGCCGAGAGCCACCCGCUGCACCUGCACGGCUUCAACUUCUUCGUCGUCGGCCAGGGCUUCGGGAACUACGACCCGGCCAAGGACCCGGCCAAGUUCAACCUCGUCGACCCCGUCGAGCGCAACACCGUCGGCGUCCCCGCCGGCGGCUGGGUCGCCAUCCGCUUCCGCGCCGACAACCCAGGUGUUUGGUUCAUGCAUUGCCAUUUGGAGGUGCACAUGAGCUGGGGGCUGAAGAUGGCGUGGCUGGUGCUGGACGGCAGCCUUCCGAACCAGAAGCUCCCGCCGCCGCCGGCAGAUCUCCCGAAAUGCUAG